CCGGUGGGCGGAGGGAGGCCGGGGAGGAGGGUGGCGGUCGGUUUUAUUGUUUCCUUUCGCCCUCCUCCUCCCGCGCCUCGCCCCGGCGUCACUGGAAAGCCUCCCGAGCCGCCCGGCAGCGGGUUAUUUAUAGCGCGGGUGGCGCGCGCGUCACGGAGCCCGGCCCGGCUGACGGGGCCGCUGACGCGCUUGGCCGCGGGGCCGAGUCCGCGGGGCUGCACGCGGGGACCAGCGACAAUGGGCUUCUGUGUGUGCAGCUGCCGCCGCCGCUGGGGGCCGGGGGAGGGGGGCUGGCGGCCGCUCCCCGACCCCUCUCCCUCCCGCCCGCGACCCCCGAAAGGUAGCCGGCUUCUUCUGCCCCUGGCCGGGCCCCGCCAACUGCUUUUUCCUUUUCUUUCUUUCUUUGUUUUUUCUUUUCAAAUGUUAUCAGUAAGUUCUCCUUGCCCUAGCCUCCGCUUCCACCUCCCCCAUUUUCCCUCCCUGCCCCACAACCUGACUAGAGAGGGGGAUUUAGCCGGCCGGGGGCGACCACUUUGUGCGUCCCGGAGAGCGGGACCCGCCCAAGGCGCGCCCAGCGGGGGAGCGGUGACCGAGGGGCCGGGAGCGCCAGGCAGCAGCGCGCAGGAAGCCAACCUGGGUAUGUAGCGCGAAGAGCGAAAGAGAAACUUCUGCGUGACUAGCUCUCUCCAGAGAGGCCGAGAUAAUGGAGGACCCCCGCCCCCCACCCCGCGCCGCCCCUCCCCCGCCCGUUCCCACCCUUCUCUUCCCGCGGCCCCAACGCCGGGGACUUUGGAGUCCUCCCCCCGCCCGGCCCCGCGGGUUCUGUCCUCGAACGCCCCCGCCCUGCGGAAGGAGGGGCUGGCGAGGGUUUUAGGGACUUCCUGAGAUGCGGAGACCAGCUCUGAACCGUCUCCUUUCUGCAGCCGGGAGCUGGGAAAGCUUGCUCCGGAGCCUCUCGCACGUGGCCGGCAGGCAGAGAACUUGCUGUGCCUUCUAGGAAACUGCAAUCGAUUUGUAAUGCAGUUUUGCUAAUUGGGAGUUCAAAAUUAAACAUUAAUAAAGCAUUUGUGUCGUCUCGUCUAAUUGUGAAAGCUUCCAUCCGUCCUGGUAGAUAGACUCUAAGUCUCAAGUUAAUGGCGCUAAACUAGAUCCCUCCCCCUCCAAGUACAAUUCCGUCAGGCGGCGUCGGCGCAGCUGGAUUUCCGUUAGGUACAGAUGUUGCUAAUGGCAGCUUAAGCACGGAUGGGCAGAUAGCAUACGGAAUGCAACAUGUUGCCAUAUGGUUCCUUUAGCCUUUCACCUCCAGGAAUAUCAAUCACAUAUAUUCUGGGAGGAAUUUAAUGACUCUCUGAACGGUAAAAUGAAUUACCUGGUACAAUUUAUAUCCCUUGACCUGAUACGUUAUAACAACAGGAAGAUAGCAUCUCACAGUUCCUGUGG
Vicugna pacos (alpaca) is the source of this 1440-nucleotide non-coding RNA. The record is from RefSeq and is a predicted model, not a curated record. Lineage: Eukaryota; Metazoa; Chordata; Mammalia; Artiodactyla; Camelidae.